CGGGGCGUGGCGCAGUCUGGUAGCGCAUCUGGUUUGGGACCAGAGGGUCGCAUGUUCGAAUCAUGUCGCCCCGACCA
This 77-nucleotide transfer RNA is filed under the name Pusillimonas noertemannii. Its description in RNAcentral is "tRNA-Pro". It matches the Rfam family "tRNA". From Rfam's summary of the family: Transfer RNA (tRNA) molecules are approximately 80 nucleotides in length. Lineage: Bacteria; Pseudomonadati; Pseudomonadota; Betaproteobacteria; Burkholderiales; Alcaligenaceae. The record is from RNAcentral. RNAcentral also lists the same sequence under 2 other names.